UGGUAAAAAUCCAUUCAAUUUUACUGUUAAAAACUGGUGUGACUAAUAGAAUAACCAGAUACAUGUGUACCUCAUUUUGAUGUACAAGGAUCAGUAUUUAACAGUAGAAAUGGAUGAAAUUAACA
Gossypium raimondii (Peruvian cotton) is the source of this 125-nucleotide non-coding RNA. Lineage: Eukaryota; Viridiplantae; Streptophyta; Magnoliopsida; Malvales; Malvaceae. The record is from Rfam.